This 41-nucleotide transfer RNA is filed under the name Tarentola mauritanica (Moorish gecko). Its description in RNAcentral is "partial tRNA-Phe". Lineage: Eukaryota; Metazoa; Chordata; Lepidosauria; Squamata; Phyllodactylidae. The record is from RNAcentral.
GCUUUGAAGACGCCACGAUGAAGUACUACCUUCCAGGAACA